This 432-nucleotide long non-coding RNA is filed under the name Pan troglodytes (chimpanzee). Its description in RNAcentral is "long non-coding RNA NONPTRT011196". The record is from RNAcentral. Lineage: Eukaryota; Metazoa; Chordata; Mammalia; Primates; Hominidae.
GAAGAGAAGCAAGUUAAAAUAUCAGCAACUGUUAACACAAUGGUGUUUGAUAUUCGAAUUAAAGCCAUAAAGGAAUUAAAAUUAAUGAAGGAACUAGCUGACAACAGCUGUUUGAGACCUAUUGAUAGAAAUGGGAAGCUUCUUUGUCCAGUGCCGGACAGCUAUACUUUGAAGGAAGCAGAAUUGAAGAUGGGAAGUUCAUUGGGACUGUGUCUUGGAAAAGCACCAAGUUCGUCUCAGUUGUUCCUGUUUUUUGCAAUGGGGAGUGACGUUCAACCUGGGACAGAAAUGGAAAUCAUAGUAGAAGAAACAAUAUCUGUGAGAGAUUGUUUAAAGUUAAUGCUGAAGAAAUCUGGCCUACAAGGAGAUGCCUGGCAUUUACGAAAAAUGGAUUGGUGCUAUGAAGCUGGAGAACCUUUAUGUGAAGAAGUA